This is a small nuclear RNA of Thamnophis elegans (Western terrestrial garter snake), 104 nucleotides long. NCBI's taxonomy places the organism in Eukaryota, Metazoa, Chordata, Lepidosauria, Squamata, Natricidae. The record is from RefSeq and is a predicted model, not a curated record.
GUGUUCACUUCAGCAGCACAUAAACUAAAACUGGAAUGAUAGAGAUUAGCAUUUGGCCCUUGCCCAAAAAUGACAUGCAAAUCCAUGCAGCCUUCCAUUAUUUU